Molecule: long non-coding RNA, 1713 nt
Organism: Aedes albopictus (Asian tiger mosquito)
Lineage: Eukaryota; Metazoa; Arthropoda; Insecta; Diptera; Culicidae
Exons: 3
Source: RefSeq, a predicted model, not a curated record
GGGCAAGACAGAUACAGCGAGAGUAAAUCUGUUAUCGAAGUGUUGCUCAGAAUUCCUCUGGAUAGCUCUGGAUCACUCUGGUUUUCCCGAAGUGUUGCCUGAUACUUAUGAAAAAUCGAGCAGUCUUGCCCGAUUUUCCGCUUCGUAGAGACGUUUCUGAAUGGAUUCGAACAAAAAGUGCUACUCAGGAUUGCUCAGAGUUGCUCCGAAUUUCACAGUGUCUUGCCCCUAGGGUUUAACUUAUACUUUGCAUAAGUUAGCCGUUUGAAAAUAUUUCCCGCCAAGCGGCGCCUGUGAGCAGCAGUAAAUUUCGUAAACAAAAGAGUUAAUUGCCAAGUUAAUUGCAUAAUUUCCUCCACUAGAGUUUUUGACGUAGCUUUAUCAGGUAAUUGUUCUGGGGAUCCUGAUAGAAAUCCAGUUCCUGGUCAAGGGCUCGUUCGAGUAGCCGCUGCCGUUUGAAAAGCCAUGCUAUAACGGCCGGACACAGCAGUCGCACCUCGCGAAACUUCUACUGCCGGUCCCGACUCUGAUCGGAACUCGGUUCGAAAUCUGCGAAGAUCUGCGGCACGGAAGAGAAAACAAAUGGCUUGGAUGGCAUCAAGAAGAUUCCCCGAAUGUGAGUCAAGAUUACUGACUCGGAUCACGACGGAGAAAGAUCAGCAACAAUGGGAAACCAGUCAACGCGGGAGAUGAAGGAGUUCGUGGGAGAUGAAGGAGGCGGCGUAUACAUCAUCAUAAACGACUUUGAGCUGAUGUUGGCGCGCAAAAACAGACAAACAUCUCAAGCGAAACUUCUAACUGCCUCUAACGGAACGACAUCGGCUUGAUCAACAAGCUAAAACAAAUACGCCACGUCGCCGUGUCCUCAACUAGUCGCUGGAAUACCUACAACAUGCAGUAACUACAUCCGCUGGAUGCCGCCGGAUUGCGUAGUAUCGCAAUUUUCUUCAUGGUGUAUUCGUGUUUUCGUGUGCAUUAAAUCAUUUAAUAAUCAAUAAAAUAAGUAUUUCACAAAAAAAUGUGUAUUCAUUACACUAGUUUACAGCAUUUUUGAACUCGGUAAGCUGAUGAUCAUUUUUGGUGUAGAAUCAUGCCCUGAGUUCGAAAACGCGAAAGAAAAAAAUUACAGUAGAGCGGAAAUUUUUUCGACUUUCCAUACAAGGUUGAUGAUUUGAAAUCGAUUUUUGUUCUAUUUUUAAGCAAUGUCGCUCACUUCAAACAUCUCAUUCUCCGUAAUCAAUGCUUUGAUUGAGCUGAAAUUUUUACUGUAACUCGCCUACAUAUGAUGUCAAAUAAACGUCAAGAAAGAAUUUUUCAGUUGUCUUUUUCGCAUUGAAAAAAAUACAUAUCUUCAAAAAAAUUUGGGAAUUUGGCUAAAAUUUAAGAAGAUCGUCCCUUAAGCAGGCAAAUAUCUUGAAUUUCAUCAAUCUGACGCAAAACCUGUAUUCAGAUGAUCGAAUGGUAUUGUAUUCAGCUUUCAAUUGAUGAAAAAAGAUUUAAAAUUGGUUGAACAAAACGCAAUAUAUUUGAAUUUUAGUAAAUUACAUAUUUUGAAAAGUUGUAAAACUCGAUAUUGAGCUAAAACUCAAAAACUGUUCUACUUAAAAUUUUUUGAAGGUCGGUUUCGAAUUCAGCACUAAAUUGUGCUUCAAAAAUUUUGGUCGUUGACAGAAGUUCACGACUUUCGUUUUAUUUUGUAAACUUGUGUUAUUG